Molecule: ribosomal RNA, 497 nt
Filed under: uncultured bacterium
Lineage: Bacteria
Description: partial 16S ribosomal RNA
Rfam family: Bacterial small subunit ribosomal RNA
Source: RNAcentral
GAUGAACGCUGGCGGCGUGCCUAAUACAUGCAAGUCGAGCGAACAGACGAGGAGCUUGCUCCUCUGACGUUAGCGGCGGACGGGUGAGUAACACGUGGAUAACCUACCUAUAAGACUGGGAUAACUUCGGGAAACCGGAGCUAAUACCGGAUAAUAUAUUGAACCGCAUGGUUCAAUAGUGAAAGACGGCUUUGCUGUCACUUAUAGAUGGAUCCGCGCCGCAUUAGCUAGUUGGUAAGGUAACGGCUUACCAAGGCAACGAUGCGUAGCCGACCUGAGAGGGUGAUCGGCCACACUGGAACGGAGACACGGUCCAGGCGCCUACGGGAGGCAGCAGUAGGGAAUCUUCCGCAGUGGGCGAAAGCCUGACGGAGCAGCGCCGCGUGAGUGAUGAAGGUCUUCGGAUCGUAAAACUCUGUUAUUAGGGAAAAACAAAUGUGUAAGUAACUAUGCACGUCUUGACGGUACCUAAUCAGAAAGCCACGGCUAACUACGUG